RNAcentral lists this ribosomal RNA (253 nucleotides) under uncultured bacterium. Its description in RNAcentral is "partial 16S ribosomal RNA". It matches the Rfam family "Bacterial small subunit ribosomal RNA", at positions 524 to 776 of the family's 1533-position model. The record is from RNAcentral.
UACAUAGGGGGCAAGCGUUGUCCGGAUUUAUUGGGCGUAAAGAGCGUGUAGGCGGCUUUACAGGUCCGUUGUGAAAACUCGAGGCUCAACCUCGAGACGCCGGUGGAAACCGUAAAGCUAGAGUCCGGAAGAGGAGAGUGGAAUUCCUGGUGUAGCGGUGAAAUGCGCAGAUAUCAGGAAGAACACCCGUGGCGAAGGCGGCUCUCUGGGACGGUACUGACGCUGAGACGCGAAAGCGUGGGGAGCGAACAGG